RNAcentral lists this ribosomal RNA (1497 nucleotides) under uncultured prokaryote. RNAcentral describes it as "partial 16S ribosomal RNA". It matches the Rfam family "Bacterial small subunit ribosomal RNA". The record is from RNAcentral.
AGAGUUUGAUCAUGGCUCAGAUUGAACGCUGGAGGUAUGCUUAACACAUGCAAGUCGAACGCGAAAGCUCCUUCGGGAGUGAGUAGAGUGGCGAACGGGUGAGUAACGCGUAGGAAUCUACCCAGUAGUGGGGGACAACUUGGGGAAACUCAAGCUAAUACCGCAUACGCCCUACGGGGGAAAGCGGGGGACCUUCGGACCUCGUGCUGUUAGAUGAGCCUGCGUCGGAUUAGCUUGUUGGUGGGGUAAAGGCCCACCAAGGCGACGAUCCGUAGCUGGUCUGAGAGGAUGAUCAGCCACACUGGGACUGAGACACGGCCCAGACUCCUACGGGAGGCAGCAGUGGGGAAUAUUGGACAAUGGGCGAAAGCCUGAUCCAGCCAUGCCGCGUGUGUGAAGAAGGCCUUAGGGUUGUAAAGCACUUUCAGUAGGGAGGAAAAGUUAGUCGUUAAUAACGGCUAACCCUGACGUUACCUACAGAAGAAGCACCGGCAAACUCCGUGCCAGCAGCCGCGGUAAUACGGAGGGUGCGAGCGUUAAUCGGAAUUACUGGGCGUAAAGCGCGCGUAGGCGGCCUGAUAAGUUGGAUGUGAAAGCCCUGGGCUCAACCUAGGAACUGCAUUCAAAACUGUCAGGCUAGAGUACGAGAGAGGUGAGUGGAAUUCCGAGUGUAGCGGUGAAAUGCGUUGAUAUCUGAAGGAACAUCAGUGGCGAAGGCGACACUCUGGACCAAUACUGACGCUGAGGUGCGAAAGCGUGGGUAGCAAACAGGAUUAGAUACCCUGGUAGUCCACGCCGUAAACGAUGUCUACUAGCCGUUGGGUUCCUUGAGGACUUAGUGGCGCAGCUAACGCAUUAAGUAGACCGCCUGGGGAGUACGGCCGCAAGGUUAAAACUCAAAUGAAUUGACGGGGGCCCGCACAAGCGGUGGAGCAUGUGGUUUAAUUCGAUGCAACGCGAAGAACCUUACCUGCCCUUGACAUCCUCGGAACGGUCUAGAGAUAGACUGGUGCCUUCGGGAACCGAGUGACAGGUGCUGCAUGGCUGUCGUCAGCUCGUGUCGUGAGAUGUUGGGUUAAGUCCCGUAACGAGCGCAACCCUUGUCCUUAGUUGCCAUCAGUUCGGCUGGGAACUCUAAGGAGACUGCCGGUGACAAACCGGAGGAAGGUGGGGACGACGUCAAGUCAUCAAGGCCCUUACGACCUGGGCUACACACGUGCUACAAUGGUCGGUACAGAGGGCUGCUAACCCGCGAGGGGGCGCGAAUCCCAGAAAACCGGUCGUAGUCCGGAUCGCAGUCUGAAACUCGACUUCAUGAAGUCGGAAUCGCUAGUAAUCGCGAAUCUGAAUGUCGCGGUGAAUACGUUCCCGGGCCUUGUUCACUCCGCCCGUCACACCAUUGGAGUUGGUUGUAAAAGAAGUGGCUAGUCUAACCUUCGGGAGGACGGUCACCACUUUGUGAUUCUGACUGGGGUGAAGUCGUAACAAGGUAGCCGU